Molecule: ribosomal RNA, 484 nt
Filed under: uncultured bacterium
Lineage: Bacteria
Description: partial 16S ribosomal RNA
Rfam family: Bacterial small subunit ribosomal RNA
Source: RNAcentral
AUUGAACGCUGGCGGCAGGCCUAACACAUGCAAGUCGAGCGGAUGAAGGGAGCUUGCUCCUGGAUUCAGCGGCGGACGGGUGAGUAAUGCCUAGGAAUCUGCCUGGUAGUGGGGGAUAACGUCCGGAAACGGGCGCUAAUACCGCAUACGUCCUGAGGGAGAAAGUGGGGGAUCUUCGGACCUCACGCUAUCAGAUGAGCCUAGGUCGGAUUAGCUAGUUGGUGGGGUAAAGGCCCACCAAGGCGACGAUCCGUAACUGGUCUGAGAGGAUGAUCAGUCACACUGGAACUGAGACACGGUCCAGACUCCUACGGGAGGCAGCAGUGGGGAAUAUAGGACAAUGGGCGAAAGCCUGAUCCAGCCAUGCCGCGUGUGUGAAGAAGGUCUUCGGAUUGUAAAGCACUUUAAGUUGGGAGGAAGGGCAGUAAGUUAAUACCUUGCUGUUUUGACGUUACCAACAGAAUAAGCACCGGCUAACUUCGUG